UACGUAUGGUGCGAACGUUGUUCGGAAUCACUGGGCAUAAAGAGCACGUAGGCGGUUGAGCAAGUCCAUUGUGAAAUCCCCCGGCCUAACCGGGGAACUGCAUUGGAUACUACUUGACUUGAGUGCAGGAGGGGAGAGUGGAAUUCCAGGUGGAGCGGUGAAAUGCGCAGAUAUCAGGAGGAACACCGGUGGCGAAGGCGGUUCUCUGGGCAUUACCUGACGCUGAGGCGCGAAAGCCAGGGGAGCAAACGGG
RNAcentral lists this ribosomal RNA (253 nucleotides) under uncultured bacterium. RNAcentral describes it as "partial 16S ribosomal RNA". It matches the Rfam family "Bacterial small subunit ribosomal RNA", at positions 524 to 776 of the family's 1533-position model. The record is from RNAcentral.